Molecule: ribosomal RNA, 460 nt
Filed under: uncultured bacterium
Lineage: Bacteria
Description: partial 16S ribosomal RNA
Rfam family: Bacterial small subunit ribosomal RNA
Source: RNAcentral
CCUACGGGUGGCAGCAGUGAGGAAUAUUGGUCAAUGGGCGCGAGUCUGAACCAGCCAAGUAGCGUGAAGGAUGACUGCCCUACGGGUUGUAAACUUCUUUUAUAUAGGAAUAAAGUAAGGCACGUAUACCUUCUUGUAUGUACUAUAUGAAUAAGGAUCGGCUAACUCCGUGCCAGCAGCCGCGGUAAUACGGAGGAUCCGAGCGUUAUCCGGAUUUAUUGGGUUUAAAGGGAGCGUAGAUGGGUUGUUAAGUCAGUUGUGAAAGUUUGCGGCUCAACCGUAAAAUUGCAAUUGAUACUGGCAGUCUUGAGUACAGUAGAGGUAGGCGGAAUUCGUGGUGUAGCGGUGAAAUGCUUAGAUAUCACGAAGAACUCCGAUUGCGAAGGCAGCUUACUAAACUGCAACUGACAUUGAUGCUCGAAAGUGUGGGUAUCAAACAGGAUUAGAUACCCUUGUAGUC